Salvia splendens (bonfire salvia) is the source of this 1304-nucleotide long non-coding RNA. RefSeq lists it as uncharacterized. The transcript is spliced from 2 exons. Lineage: Eukaryota; Viridiplantae; Streptophyta; Magnoliopsida; Lamiales; Lamiaceae. The record is from RefSeq and is a predicted model, not a curated record.
CUACAGCCUCCCCCUUCACACCUUGCAGCUGCCGCCGCCAGCCUCUCUCCGGUGCCGCCGUCGCACCACCACCACCUCCGGCGGUGAUUCCUUUCUCCUCCUCAUCUCUCUUUCUCCCUUCUCUCCCUCCUCUCUCUCUUCUCUCUUCUCUCCCUCUUCACCGCCGGCAUGCAGAGGCAGCGGCUUCGCCGCCCUCCUCCCGGCAGUCCGGCCGUCUCCGGACAGCAGCAUACCUGUAAUCUUUCUCUCCUCUCUUCUCUCCCUCUUCACCGUACCACCGCUGCCGAGGAUCCGCCUCCGUCGCCCAGCUUCCCCUCCUCCACUUCUUCCCUUUCUUUCUCUUCUCUCCUACCUCACACCGCCGCCGCGGCUAUUGUGCAUGCACAGGCAGUGAUGCUGAAGUCACAACUUCCGCCACCGUAUGCGGUAAGUAACGCCGCCUUCCGCACUCGCCGGAUCCCGACCGAUUUGUAAAGACCUUGAACUAAUUAAUGGCUAUGAGGCUUGUGGGGCUGCCAUCGCCGUCGGAGAGUCUCCGAAGCAACUGUCGGAACAUGCCACCGAGAUAACUUCCUAACUUUCAAUUAUUAUAGUCUUAAGACUUGUGUUGGCCAUCUUAUGAGUUUGAUGCAUAUUUUGACAUUUUUAGAACACUUUGUAGUCUAAAAUUUUGCUCGUUUGUUUUGGCUAGAUUCUAAAUCUCAAUUCGAAUGCUAUGCAUGCUUUGAUGUAAUAAAAAAUUAGAGAGGACAUGUAUUCCAUACCUUUCAAGUGCCAACAACCUAUAUUCUUUUACUUCUUUUCUUCUUGAGUUUGUUUGUGAUUGUGACGUGGGUGGGUAAAAAUGAUUGUGAUAUAUAUAUACAUACACAAAAGAUAUGGAAGAUGCAGGGAACCUUAUCUUUCAAAAUAUUCUGUCAGGAGAUCUUUCAAAAUAUUCUGUCAGGAGAAGGAUGAUGAUUUCUCUGCAAGCCAUUAAUGCAGCAUUAAAUGCUGCAAUGACACUUAUUCUUCUCGGAUGUCUUUUUUUUAUAUUAUUUUUUUUGUAUUUUACUUGUUUAUCAAUUUAAUUAUUUGAGUAUUUGUUUACUUAAUCAUUUAAUUUGGUGUAGGUAUAAUCGGUUCAAGUUUGUGGCUGUCCGCGUUGAAGUAACCGAUUUUCGUAGAACGCAGGAUGUAAAGAUUAAAUUUUGUUGGACUUUUGUUGGAUGUAUCGGACAUUAAAAUUUUGAUUUUUGGAUCUUAUUUAUUUAUUUAUUUAAAUUUAUUAUAUUCUAAUAGGUGAAAUAUAUUUACGUGUUCUA